CAGCAGUGUCCUUAGUUGGUUCUGAAGGGCAUUUUGCACAGUGUUUAGCAAUGAUUUGGGCCAUAUUACUUCUCAUUCUCCAAGUCUGGUCCUCCAAGUUUUUAGGCAAUUUUGUAUUUAUUUUCUGCUAUAAUCAGCCCAAACCCAUUUCUUUUGCUCUGGAACUUAGAAGUGAUCUAGUCAACUUACAUGGUAAGCAAUCAUCUAUAGCAAAAAUUUAGAGUAAAAUUAGACCAAGAUUGAUUGAACAUUCAUGUUUCAAACUGCAGAAAAUCUUGGAGUUUUUUUAGACAAUAAUAUUAAUGUUACUACUGCUAAUAAAAGAUAGCUUUAUUGAGAAACUACUGUAUGUCAUGAUCUGUAUUAAGCCUUUAUAUGAAAAAAAAAAGCCUUUAUAUGCAUUAUUUCCUGUAAUUCAAGGAAGAUAUAGGAACUCAAAUCUGAUGAAAAUAAGCCAGAUGAAAAAACAUGGCCUAUAAUCUAGUGGAGGAGGAGGAGGAUGAUGACGAUGACAAUGAUGAAGAUUAUGAUGACAAUGAUGUUGGUAAUGAUGAUAAUGAUGGCAAUGACAAUGAUGAUGACAAUGACAAUAAUGAUGAUUAUGAUGAUGACAGUGAUGUUGACAAUGAUGAUGAUGACAACAUCUGGAAUGUGGAGAAUCACAGUUAGGGUCAACCGCCUAUAUAACAGAGCUUGUUUGAAGUGUCUCAAGUCCCAGGCUCUAAUGGACCCCAACUCUGAUAAAUCACCUUCAUGCUCAGAAGGAAAGAUAAGACUUAUGCAACUAUUGCUUAUAGUGAUAACCUCUACAUCUCCUGGAAUUAGCCUCAACUUAGUGUCUUCAGCAACUCCCUGAAGACGGAACGUGGCUGAUUUUAUUUGCAAGGUCUUCUGGUUUUCAUACGGGUCCAACUGUAACUGAAACAACUACUCAUUUAGUUUAUUCAACAAACAUUUAUUGAGAACCUGUUAUGUGCCAGCUACUUUUCUAGGCAUGGAAAUACAGAGAUAGACAAGGUAGGCAAAGUUGCUGCUUUUGUGAUGCUUAUAUGAAUAUAUGCUAAUUGUCUUUAAAAAAAACAAGAAAAUAUUGAGAAGAGAAAGUGAAAGUUCUUCUAUGAGAGGUGGAGAUGUCCA
Molecule: long non-coding RNA, 1137 nt
Filed under: Vulpes vulpes (red fox)
Lineage: Eukaryota; Metazoa; Chordata; Mammalia; Carnivora; Canidae
Description: lncRNA (ENSVVUG00000020830.1)
Source: RNAcentral